GAUGAACGCUGGCGGCGUGCCUAAUACAUGCAAGUCGAGCGAACAGAUAAGGAGCUUGCUCCUUUGACGUUAGCGGCGGACGGGUGAGUAACACGUGGGUAACCUACCUAUAAGACUGGGAUAACUUCGGGAAACCGGAGCUAAUACCGGAUAACAUUUGGAACCGCAUGGUUCUAAAGUGAAAGAUGGUUUUGCUAUCACUUAUAGAUGGACCCGCGCCGUAUUAGCUAGUUGGUAAGGUAACGGCUUACCAAGGCAACGAUACGUAGCCGACCUGAGAGGGUGAUCGGCCACACUGGAACUGAGACACGGUCCAGACUCCUACGGGAGGCAGCAGUAGGGAAUCUUCCGCAAUGGGCGAAAGCCUGACGGAGCAACGCCGCGUGAGUGAUGAAGGUUUUCGGCUCGUAAAACUCUGUUAUUAGGGAAGAACAAAUGUGUAAGUAACUGUGCACGUCUUGACGGUACCUAAUCAGAAAGCCACGGCUAACUACGUG
This 497-nucleotide ribosomal RNA is filed under the name uncultured bacterium. Its description in RNAcentral is "partial 16S ribosomal RNA". It matches the Rfam family "Bacterial small subunit ribosomal RNA", at positions 28 to 507 of the family's 1533-position model. The record is from RNAcentral.